CUGGCGGCGUGCCUAACACAUGCAAGUCGAACGGGGAUUUGUUUCGGCAGAAUCCUAGUGGCGAACGGGUGAGUAACGCGUAGGCAACCUGCCCUCCGGCCGGGGGACAACACUCCGAAAGGGGUGCUAAUACCGGAUACGAAGUCUGUGCCGCAUGGUACGGAUUUGAAAGAUGGCCUCUAUUUAUAAGCUAUCGCCGGGGGAUGGGCCUGCGUCCGAUUAGCUGGUUGGUGGGGUAACGGCCUACCAAGGCGACGAUCGGUAGCCGGUCUGAGAGGAUGAACGGCCACAUUGGGACUGAGACACGGCCCAGACUCCUACGGGAGGCAGCAGUGGGGAAUCUUCCGCAAUGGGCGCAAGCCUGACGGAGCAACGCCGCGUGAGUGAGGAAGUUCUUCGGAACGUAAAGCUCUGUUGUUCCUGACGAACCUCCCCUCUAUCAACAACGGAGGGGACUGACGGUAGGGAACGAGGAAGCCACGGCUAACUACGUGCCAGCAGCAGC
This 505-nucleotide ribosomal RNA is filed under the name uncultured bacterium. RNAcentral's name for it is "bacterial SSU rRNA". It matches the Rfam family "Bacterial small subunit ribosomal RNA", at positions 36 to 518 of the family's 1533-position model. The record is from RNAcentral.